Acanthochromis polyacanthus (spiny chromis) is the source of this 367-nucleotide long non-coding RNA. RefSeq lists it as uncharacterized. NCBI's taxonomy places the organism in Eukaryota, Metazoa, Chordata, Actinopteri, Pomacentridae. The transcript is spliced from 3 exons. The record is from RefSeq and is a predicted model, not a curated record.
CCACUAAUCAGGAGGUGUAGAAGGAGUCAUAGUACCACUAAUCAGGAGGUCUGGAAGGAGUCACAGUACCACUAAUCAGGAGGUGUAGAAGGAGUCAUAGUUCCACUAAUCAGGAGGUCUGGAAGGAGUCACAGUACCACUAAUCAGGAGGUGUAGAAGGAGUCAUAGUUCCACUAAUCAGGAGGUCUAGAAGGAGUCAUAGUUCCACUAAUCAGGAGGUGUAGAAGGAGUCAUAGUUCCACUAAUCAGGAGGUCUAGAAGGAGUCAUAGUUCCACUAAUCAGGAGGUCUAGAAGGAGUCAUAGUUCCACUAAUCAGGAGGUCUGGAAGGAGUCAUAGUUCCACUAAUCAGGAGGUGUAGAAGGAGU